RNAcentral lists this ribosomal RNA (461 nucleotides) under uncultured bacterium. Its description in RNAcentral is "partial 16S ribosomal RNA". It matches the Rfam family "Bacterial small subunit ribosomal RNA", at positions 28 to 507 of the family's 1533-position model. The record is from RNAcentral.
GACGAACGCUGGCGGCGUGCCUAACACAUGCAAGUCGAACGGUGAAGCCCUUCGGGGUGGAUCAGUGGCGAACGGGUGAGUAACACGUGAGCAACCUGCCCCUGGCUCUGGGACAACCACUGGACACGGUGGCUAAUACCGGAUAAGACCCGACUCUGCUUCAAGUGUGGGUGGAAAGUUUUUCGGCUGGGGUUGUGCUCGCGGCCUAUCAGCUUGUUGGUGAGGAGGAGGCUCAUCAAGGCGACGACGGGUAGCCGGCCUGUGAGGGCGACCGGCCACACUGGGACUGGGACACGGCCCAGACUCCUACGGGAGGCAGCGGUGGGGAAUAUUGCACAAUGGGCGAAAGCCGGAUGCAGCGACGCCGCGUGAGGGAUGUCGGCCUUCGGGUUGUAAACCUCUUUCAGCUCCGAGAAGCGAAAGUGACGGUAGGAGCAGAAGAAGCACCGGCUAACUACGUG